UGUCUUAUAUUCAAACUCGAGCUCUCUCCUCUCUCGUAGCUCUCUAUCUCAAACUCUCUUCUCUCUGUGAACCACGGAGAAGAUAGGACGAAACCCAAACCAUCGCACCACACGAGUGGACCACCAUCUCCUCCCUCCUGCUGUUUUGCUCAGGACACCCUAACUUGUGGUCUACUUCCCAUUCAGUGAGAACCAUCAUUGUUCACCCAUUUAACCUACCAUGGUUGGUGCAGAUGAACCUCGGGGGAGAUUCCCCAGAAAUUUUGGAAGCUUGGACCCGUGACCAUUUAGCCCAUUUCACAGGAUUUUUCCGGCCAUCUCGGUGACGUUUGGCCCUCGAAACUGGUGAAACGCAUUGCAAAGAUUCUCGAUUGUACGAGACGGGUUCGACUCGACAACAUGAUCUGUGUCAGCCAGCAUAGCUCGAUUCAGAAUCUAGAUGGACGUUCCGGAUCAAGGUGUGUCAUAAAAACAAAAAAAAUCGUGAAGAAAAAUGAUAUUGAGGGAGGAAACACUAGAGAAAAUACUAAUUCAAUGGAACUUCAAAGUUAAAAAAUAUAAAAAGGAGAAUGAAGCAUUAAAAAAAAAAAAAAAAAAAAAAAAAAAAAAAAAAAAACAUGAGACGAAGAACCCAAAAUACAAAAUUGACUAAUACAAUUAUUAUUAUUAUUAUUAUUUUAAUAACCAAUCAAAUGUAUAUUGAUCAUCCUUAUGGAAGGAGGAGGAGAAGAAGAAUAUUACUAGGCAAAAUAAUGUAGGAAGAGAAAAAUAUUGUGAGGGAGAAACAAGAAAAGAGAAAUGAACGGUUUGGGGAAGGAGAAGAAAAAAAGGAGAUUUAAAUCCCUAAUCCUAUAAUUAAGGAUAAGAUUGACAUUAAUCACAAACUUAAAAAACAGUAAUUACUUAAUUGGUCAAUUUAAGGGUAAAUUUGGUGAAUACAAAUAAGCUUAUGUGGACAAUGAAUCAUUGGAUCUAACCAAAAAAUUAAACAAAAUUGGACUAUAACUAAUAAUGGCUCAUAAAAUUGGACUCAUAUUAAGUUUUCCCAACUUUUUUAAAUCUCCAUAGAUUUGGAUAUCAAUGAGAAGCAAACGUUUAGUAAAAUUGAGAGUGUCAGUAUCAUGUGUGAUUUAAGGCUCGUUUGGAAGUGUUUUUAAAAUGACUGAUAACGCUUUUGAUGAAAUGUUUUUGAAACCAAUCCUUAGUAAAAACACAAAUGAAUCUUAAAAAAAGCAUUUGAAAUACUGCUUGGAAUAAGCGCAUAACCGUUGCUUCUUCCAUAAAGCACUUCAAGUGCCUUUGGAACCCAAUUUCUUUAAAAGCACUUUCAGUCUUUUUAAAAACACUUCCAAACAGUCCUUAUACAUUGCGUUUGUAAAAUUUGUUUGAUAAUUUGAUACCCUUCUAGAAAAAACUUGAUUACCAAACCAUACUGAAUAAAUUUGACUCUAUGCUCAUGAAGUCGGAGUUGAAGCUUUAGUUUUUAGCUACGACGUGGACUAGUAGGACUGUAACUGAUUAUCAAACCCUAAUUAUGUGAUUAAUUUAUGUAAUUAAUUUGACUCCACCAUUCAUUAUAUGUGCUAUGUGGCUGCAGAUAAACCCAAACUUUCAAGAUUUAAUCAUCACAUAAUCUAGAAAUUCGUUGACGUAAAAUCCUUUAUUUUCGUCCAGGAGAGAUGUAGGAAUAUUAAAAAGUUAUAAUUUUGUGAACAAGAAAUUGACUUUUAAUUAAAUUAAUCCCCAAAGGCCAUAUGGUAGAGCCACACUUUGAUUAAUUCAAGGUUAUCGACCACCAAGAUUUGUAUAUGAAGUCCAAUAUCUCCCCAAAAAGUAAAACCCUAUCUUCCAUUAUUUCAAUUAAAUUCUUCAUUUCCUUGUCACAUGAAUGGGACAUUCCGCAUUCCACAAGUAAAUUCGUACCUAAGAUCUGUCAUUCACAAGUGAAAAAAAAUACCAGUAUAUCGUAGUAUCAAACGGUUUUAAUUGGUUCUGCAUGCAUACUUGCGAUUCAAUUUCGCAUUUGAUUGCAUAUAUAUGUAAGCAGAAAACAUGUGUAUUUGAUUUGAAGAAAACUUGAUAAGCCAAUUUGGGAUGUAAACAUUCUAUUCGUGUUAAUAUAUAUACAUAUACAUAUAUAUAUAUAUAUAUAUAUCAUCCGUUUCUAAUCAUCUAAGUUAUGUUUAAACUGUUUCUGGGGCUCAGAAGCUUUGAUAAAGAUUUGUGGGGUGUUUAUCCUGUCUCUUUGGGCCUGAUUACUUCGCUGCCACUUUCCUUUGGGCUUUCAUUGCAGAGUUUUAAGACAAGAAAAAUAAAAGGAUAAGACAAAAAUCUCUGAUGCCCGGAUUAUGCUUCGGCAGGCCAGACGAGUUUAUGUGGAUUCCAAGGAAGGUCAUCUUUGACACUCUAAGCCUGUAAUCUGGUUGUACGUACGCACAAUAAAACUAAAGAGAUAUUUGGAGGAUUUUGCUGGCAUCAGUUGGGGGACCUUGCUAGCUAGUGCUUAGACGACUGAUCGUAACACACCUCCUACUCGGUUCUUCGUACGUGAGAGUGAAAAUCAAAGUAUCAGAACCCUUCGAGUUCGUGUUCGAUGUAUACGAUCGGAAAGGCGUAUUUUUAACAAUGCAAUCUUUGGUUUAGGCCUUAUGCGUACAAAAUGGUUGCAUUACCUUCUUAAAAAUGUUAGCUAUGUUGAGCCAGUGGUGCCAAUGAUCCAUGAAGAGAAGGACAUUGAUAUUUUUGUGAAAAGUGCAAUCAUGUCAUCAAAGCUAUGGGAGUACUUGGCCAAUCAUAAACAAACAGAUGGUCUUUCCAGCUAGUAUGGACGGGUCACAGUGUGUGUCUUUCAAACCCUAAAAUCUUAUGAGGUCCCCAGAACAACAAUAUUAUUGGCAUAUUGCUAACAGGAUAAUGUUAUCCAUAUGUUCAUUUUUACCUCU
Molecule: long non-coding RNA, 2942 nt
Organism: Pyrus x bretschneideri (Chinese white pear)
Lineage: Eukaryota; Viridiplantae; Streptophyta; Magnoliopsida; Rosales; Rosaceae
Exons: 4
Source: RefSeq, a predicted model, not a curated record